RNAcentral lists this ribosomal RNA (210 nucleotides) under uncultured bacterium. RNAcentral describes it as "partial 16S ribosomal RNA". It matches the Rfam family "Bacterial small subunit ribosomal RNA", at positions 524 to 731 of the family's 1533-position model. The record is from RNAcentral.
UACGAAGGGGGCUAGCGUUGCUCGGAAUCACUGGGCGUAAAGCGCACGUAGGCGGAUUGCUAAGUCAGGGGUGAAAUCCUGGGAGCUCAACUCCAGAACUGCCUUUGAUACUGGCGACCUUGAGUCCGGGAGAGGUGAGUGGAACUGCGAGGUGUAGAGGUGAAAUUCGUAGAUAUUCGCAAGAACACCAGUGGCGAAGGCGGCUCACUG